Molecule: long non-coding RNA, 405 nt
Organism: Olea europaea var. sylvestris
Lineage: Eukaryota; Viridiplantae; Streptophyta; Magnoliopsida; Lamiales; Oleaceae
Exons: 2
Source: RefSeq, a predicted model, not a curated record
UAUUAACUUAUUUCUUUCAUGGUUUGACAGCUUUGCGCUGCACUGAAUAUAAAUAAGAGAAGUGUUGAUCGUGAUCUUGAUGUCUACCGCAAUCUGCUCUCUAAGCUGGUUCAAGCAAAAGAGCUGCUAAAGGAAUAUGUCGACAGGGAGAAAAAGAAAAGAGAAGAACGGACAGAAUCUCAGAAAGCUAAUGAAGCUGUCACAAAAUGCUUGGGGGGAUACCAAUAUGCGGGGGUUAUGAAGUAACCUUCAUUUGUUACCUUUUGUUUAAAUCUCUCUCAAUAUAUAUCUAACAGUUAAUUUGAUCUUUUGCAUGAUAAGAAUGGUUCAGACAGGUUAUCAAAAUAGAGGCUGUAUUAAAUGACAAAUAAUAAUUCAGAUCCUCGUGAUUUAGCCAUGUUGAAA